UACGUAGGAUGCAAGCGUUGUCCGGAUUUACUGGGCGUAAAGCGCGCGCAGGCGGCAGGUUAAGUAAGGUGUGAAAUCUCCCUGCUCAACGGGGAGGGUGCACUUUAGACUGACCAGCUAGAGGGCGGUAGAGGGUGGUGGAAUUGCUGGUGUAGCGGUGAAAUGCGUAGAGAUCAGCAGGAACACCCGUGGCGAAGGCGGCUUGCUGGGCCGUUACUGACGCUGAGGCGCGAAGGCUAGGGGAGCGAACGGG
RNAcentral lists this ribosomal RNA (253 nucleotides) under uncultured bacterium. RNAcentral describes it as "partial 16S ribosomal RNA". It matches the Rfam family "Bacterial small subunit ribosomal RNA", at positions 524 to 776 of the family's 1533-position model. The record is from RNAcentral.